Molecule: long non-coding RNA, 4420 nt
Organism: Homo sapiens (human)
Lineage: Eukaryota; Metazoa; Chordata; Mammalia; Primates; Hominidae
Exons: 2
Source: RefSeq, a predicted model, not a curated record
GGGGCGCGCACAUCCGGCGCGCGCUGUGUCGGGGAGCGGCGCUCUGGGCUGGGCCGGCAGAGGGCGCUGCGGGGCGGCCGUGGAACAAGCAGGGGAGAGCGUCAGGGGACCCAGCACAGCCUGCCUGCUGCGCCCUGCUGCCGGCCGCGCCCUCCUCCGUGCUGCGUUCUCCUGCUCGACGCUGCGUCCUCAUCCAACACUGGCACCGCGCGCUCCUUCCAGGGUCGGAGGCCCACAGACCCCUCACGUUCGCUUCUGUCAGGAGUAGCGGCAGAAUUUCGAUAAUUUAUGUCUUUGAUGGAGACUGGGAAGGUAGCCUGGCCGCUGCGCAGGAGAGCUGCGCGGGGUCCAGGAGGGGAGCGCGGAGUGGGAGCAGUCGACUCGGGCUGCGCAGUGCGUGUCGGCUGUCACGGGACACCGGUGAGGACCCUGCACCCAGAGUCGGGGGUCCAGGCUGUUGCUGGAACAGGAGGCAGCUCGGUGUCCACGGUUCCGCAGGGGGCCGCUGUCUGCUUGGAUCUUUCAUCAGGUCCCAGGCAGAGGGUGCGCUCUCUACUCAGCUUCACUCCUUGGGACAGAAGUGUGGCUGCUGAUCCUGGAGUAGGGAAGGAGAAGGAAGCAUUUGCAUGAUUAAAAUAUUUUUUUUUAUCUUGGUAAAAUACACAUAACAUGAAAUGUACCAUGUUAACCAUUUUUAAGUACUAUUUUAAUGUACUAUUCAGUGACAUUAAGUUCAUCGAACAUUGGUGUGCAAUCGUCACCACCAUCCAUUUACAGAAGUCUUUUCAUCUUGAAAGUCUGAAACUUUGUAUCUAUUGAACAACAAUUCCACAUUUCCCCCUUCCCCCAGGCCCUGGCAACCACCAUUCUACUUUGUCUCUAGGAAUUGGACUACUCUAGGUAUCUCAUAUAAGUCUAAUGAAACAGCAUCUGUCCUUUGUGACUGGCUUAUUUCAGGUAGCAUAAUGACCUCAAGGUUCAUCCAUGUAGUAGCAAGUGUCAGAAUGACCCUCCUUUUUAAGGCUGAAUAAUAUUCCAUUGCAUGUCUAUACCACAAUUUGCUUAUCUGUUCAUCCAUCGAUGGACACUGGGUUUGGUUCUACCUCUUAGCUGUUGUGAACAAUGCUACCAUGAACACGGGCGUACAAAUAUCUGUUUGAAAUCCUGCUUUCAGUUCUUUUGUAUAUAUGCCUAGAAAUGGAGUUGAGUUGCUGGAUCAGAUGGUAAUCCUGUGUUGAAUAUUUUGAGGAACGCCAUACUGUUUUCCAUAGUGACAGUUGCAUGAUUUUUAAAAAGUGGCUUACUUUCAACACAUUUUUUAAGGUAAUAUUUUGGACCAAAUGGUUAAUAAGACUGUGGUGACGAGGUGCAAGACUCUGGGAAGAUGGCCAAAAGGCACUGUUCUUUUUCAUUCUUGUUUUCUGUCCCCAGCCCAUGCCCCUGCUGGCAGCCCUGGGCUUGCCAUCCAUCUGGAAGCUAGGAAGGGCUGAGUCACCCAGCAUUCUGGGGCUGGGUGCACCCUUUCUAUAGUGUCUUAGGAGGAUGCAGAAGUAAUGGCUACAGAGCAGCUGCUGAAGGAGGAGGAGGGCUCACGAACUGCUAGAAUUUUAAAGGGCUGCAGCCCCUGAAGUCCUGGGCCCUGUUUUACAGAUAAGGGAACAAAGACUGCUGCAAGGAGAAGCAUGUGGAAGAAGACAGCUCUGAGGAUGCAGAGCCCCAAAGGACGUGCUUGCCAUUCCUGGAGAGGAAUGGCAUCAGGGACCCAGGCCACAUGCAGUGCGGCCAGGGACAGAGCACCACCUGUGCGUGUGGACAUUUCACAUUUUUCCUCCAUGGAAAAAUGUAGGAAACCCUACAGCUUGGGUUUCCUCUGUUACUGAGGCUUCCUCUGUUACUGAGGCUAACUGGGACAUUUGUCUAUUUAGCAUUUAUCUACUAUGUGUUGAAAGAGAGGCGGGUGGGGGAGAAGAUUAGGAAGCCUUUAAACAAAGCUCCAAGUAGAGCUGUCUCGACAUGAUUCAAAACUGCAUCCUUAGAUGCUUGGUGGUAUAAAGGUCUUGCCAAUUCCCAUUACAACACAUAUUGCAACAUGCCUUUCUUCUCGUAAAUGUCUUCUGAAGGUCACUCCAGCCCCUGCCAGUCCCUCUCCCCUUGACUUUCUGCCAGUGCCCAACUGUGAACCCGUAGAGCCAUCUGCUCUCCCCUCCUGCUUACCUGCAACUGAUGGCUGGCCAAGAAGAUAGGAGAGUUAUGCGAUUGGUCAAGGACUGGUGUGAGGUCUCCUGCUGUGCUGCACAUGGGGCUCGGAAUCUGAAGGUGUGACCUUCCCAUUCUUCUGUGACAAACCUGGUGCUGCCCAGCAGAGUGGAAAGAGCAUGUUUUUUUUUGUGGUAAGUUCCAACGGCAGCUGCACCAGGUAAGAGCUGUGUGAUUUUGGACUCAUAACUUACCAGCUCUGAGACUUCUUUUUCUCAUCUAUAAAAUGGGGAAGAGAGCAAGUAACUACACAGAAACUUUGGGAAGACUGAAGAGGCCUUGCCGAUGAAGCACGUGGCACCCAGAAAGUGCUUUGAUCCCCAGCUCACAGUGAUAAUGCUUGUGGGUCCGCAUGUCCCUUGCUCUUACUUGCAAUGUCUGUUCUUCAUCAGUCUCUGCAACCACAUCUUCUCUCUCUGCACCCACCUCUUAUGUAUUUUUACCCUACAAACUCUGUAGGAAAUGUGUGCUCCACAUGGCUCUGCUCUCUGCUAAUUUAACAGAUGCUCUUUCUGAGUAACUCACACUCCAGGGUUUUUUUUUUAUUAAUUAAUUAUUAUUAUCAUUAUUUUUACCACCAACCCUGCUCCUUGGUCUCCAGAUGAACCUGCCUAACUCCUCACUGCCUAGCAGACAGCAGCUUUGGAAUGUCCAGCAGACACAGUCAAGACUGAACUCACUUCCUUCCUGCAGCCUGCUCCUCCGGCCUCUUCCAAGUCUCCACUGGUGAUACCACCUUCCGCUCCCUCACAGGGGGUCAUGGUGAAUGCCUCAGCUCCUUAACCCCCGUUAUGGAAGGCCUUUGGAAUUCACUCUCCUUUAAUGGGUCUCAUAUUCCCCCCUUUCUUUAUUUAUAUUGGUACUUCCUUAGUUUAAUUCAUCAAGAUCUUGGCCUUUGAAGGAGUUAUUUCCUUUCUGCACUGCCUUUCUUUUGUCUGCCCAGCAAAUCCCACCUGGUCCUCUCCUCCCCUAUCCGUGCUCAACGUCCCUUCCUGGGUGAAGCCUUCCUCACCCAACACAUAGCACUUGGGUUAUGGCCAGUUGAGUCUCCCAGCAGCAGGAGCCUUCAUGUCUCCAAUGGCCUCUGCUCCUAGCACGCCUGCUGGCACCCACAGGUGUUUAUGGAAUUGACUCAGUGUCUAGGAAAAUAUGCAUUUAUUUCAAAAAAUACGUAGUAAAAUAAAAAUUAGAUUCAAGAAAACAUCCCUAUAAAUUUUGGUCUGUGAUAGUGCCAUACACAGUAAUGUUAUCAGAACAUCUGUCAUUGGUCAAGGCUGAGGAGGAAGCUCUGUUUUGAUCAGCAUCUUGGACCACCAGUGAUGAAGACUUUCACUCACUGAAGUCCACAUUCUUUCUGCUGGGGGAAAAUCCAGGUAGCUACAGGCCUCUGUCUGGCAGGGGUGUGCAACGGUGAGUGGUGAGGCAGCAUCCUGACCCAGAGACCAGUUGGUUGCCCUGCACUCUGACAGGGAGGUGGGACCCUGGCCACAUGAAUCGCCUGCCAUGACCCCAGGCCCCCUUCACUGUAUCCCCUGCUGUGUGCUUCCUCUCUGCCUGCUCGCCUGUGCCAGCCCCACUUGGCUUGUGCUCCUGAGACCUCUUCUUCUCUCCUUCAUGCUUUCAACUUGCAGGAAGCUUCCUGCCCGCUCAGUGGUCACCGUAAGAUUGGUUCCCAGAGAGUCAGCCCUUUGGUGGCAAACAGAGGGGCUGGAGGAGGGGAGGGUCUGCUCCCUGCAUUCAGGGCUGCCUCUGCCUGGGACCCACGCUCCUGGGGUCCUGGACUUGCCCUUCACCUCUCCUCUCAUUCUCGCCCCUGGUGGCCCCUCAGCUGCUCCCUGGGUUUUACCCUUGGUACCUGAUAUAGUUCGGCUAUUUCCCCACCCAAAUCUCAUCUUGAAUUCCGACGUGUUGUAAGAGGGACCUGGUGGGAGGCAAUUGAAUUACGAGGGCAGGUCUUUCCCAUGCUGUUCUCUUGAUAGUGAAUAAGUCUCAUGAGAUCUUACAGUAUUGUAAGGGGGAAUUUCCUUGCCCAAUUUCUCCCUCUUUGCCUGCUGCCAUCCACGGAAGACGUGACUUGCUCCACCUUGCCUUCUGCCAUGAUUGUGAGGCUUCCCUUGCCACGUGGAACUGUAAGUCCAAUUAAAACUCUUUCUUUUGUAAACUG